Molecule: long non-coding RNA, 525 nt
Organism: Diceros bicornis minor
Lineage: Eukaryota; Metazoa; Chordata; Mammalia; Perissodactyla; Rhinocerotidae
Exons: 3
Source: RefSeq, a predicted model, not a curated record
UGAUUUUAGAGAGUCCAGAACCACAGCCAAAUCCGAGUGACAAGAUGGAGGGAGAAGAUGGAAUAGAGGCCUUAAAAUUAAUCCACUCUGAGCAAGAAAGAGGUGCCCUAUCCACCGAAAAACAUAAUUGUAUUUUGCAAACUCUAAGCUCUCCUGAUUCAAAAAAGGAAUCCUCCACUAACUCACCAACAAGAGAGCUCUAUAAUCACAGUGACAUUCUGAAAGAAGACCUUGAAGCCUGUGGAACAGCUGUCCUUCACCAGCCUCCGAGACUCUUACCUGGAGGUGGCAGCCAUGAAAAGCAAGUCAGAUCUGAACAAGCGUCAGCCUCAGGCUUGUUGAGGGCACAGUUGGGUCAGCACAUGGCCACCUUGAAAGAACGUGAUAAUUCUAUCACAGAAGAGGUAGCUAAGAAGUCUGAAGUUUUCCUAGUCACAAACGUGGACCAGAGGACAGGGGUUAGUAAUUUUUAUUUUUUUUAAUAAGUUUCAAGAUGUACAAAUUAUUCAUUUAAGGAAAUAGUCA